RNAcentral lists this ribosomal RNA (253 nucleotides) under uncultured bacterium. RNAcentral's name for it is "partial 16S ribosomal RNA". It matches the Rfam family "Bacterial small subunit ribosomal RNA", at positions 524 to 776 of the family's 1533-position model. The record is from RNAcentral.
UACGUAGGGUGCGAGCGUUGUCCGGAAUUAUUGGGCGUAAAGAGCUCGUAGGCGGUCUGUCGCGUCUGCUGUGAAAUCCCGAGGCUCAACCUCGGGCUUGCAGUGGGUACGGGCAGGCUAGAGUGCGGUAGGGGAGAAUGGAAUUCCUGGUGUAGCGGUGAAAUGCGCAGAUAUCAGGAGGAACACCGGUGGCGAAGGCGGGUCUCUGGGCCGAUACUGACGCUGAGGAGCGAAAGCGUGGGGAGCGAACAGG